CCUUCCUCGGCGCGGGGUGACUCUCACAGGGUCCAGAGAGUCACCAAGAAGUCAACUCCGAGCAAGGUGCCACUGGCAGGCCCCACAGCUGUACUCAUCAGGAUCAUCAGGAGGUGCUUAAGAGGAGCAGGAAUCUCCCAGAGAGAGACGCCAGAUUGUUUGCUCACAUAGCGCGGGUCCUGUCCCAACAGCCAGCGGUGUGUUCCUACUUUGGUUGCUGGUGCUCCUCCGGUUUGAGGACUUCCGGUUUUGAGGACCCUUCCUCAGGCUGCUUAGUCUCCUCGGAACUCCACAACUCUCCUACCGUGUAGCUACACCGUGGCUCGGCAACCCAUUGCUCACCUGCCUGUCCACCCUCAGCCUGCUGUGGCGCUCCCAUCAGUCUCAUGCUGGAGAAAAACUAGAUGCUCAGCCAGCACAAGCCUCUCAGACCUGUCGACCUCAGACUCAGAGUCACUCACCUUCCCCUGGACUUACACCUUCAUCCACAAACGUGUUCGUCCUGAUCCGGUGCAGAAAUCCUGAAGUCCUCCACUUGUGUUUCUUAACAAACCAUUCUACCUGUCGAGCUGUAAAAUAACAGAACAAUGACACAUAGAUUCUCACUGAAGGCAGUGAAUGAACGCAUAUGGAAUUAGGUAGCAAACAGAAAUUUGUAAAAGAACUUUAAUGGUUUAUAUUUUAGAUUCCUUAAAGUAGCCGCCCUUUGCUGUAAUAAAAUAUUAACCUUUGGCCGUCUCUCCAUGAACCUCUGGGAAGUUCUUUCA
Long non-coding RNA from Girardinichthys multiradiatus, 767 nucleotides. RefSeq lists it as uncharacterized. The transcript is spliced from 3 exons. NCBI's taxonomy places the organism in Eukaryota, Metazoa, Chordata, Actinopteri, Cyprinodontiformes, Goodeidae. The record is from RefSeq and is a predicted model, not a curated record.